Molecule: ribosomal RNA, 253 nt
Filed under: uncultured bacterium
Lineage: Bacteria
Description: partial 16S ribosomal RNA
Rfam family: Bacterial small subunit ribosomal RNA
Source: RNAcentral
UACGGGGGGGGCAAGCGUUGUUCGGAAUUACUGGGCGUAAAGGGCUCGUAGGCGGUCAGCUAAGUCAGACGUGAAAUCCCUCGGCUUAACCGGGGAACUGCGUCUGAUACUGGAUGGCUUGAGAUUGGGAGAGGGAUGCGGAAUUCCAGGUGUAGCGGUGAAAUGCGUAGAUAUCUGGAGGAACACCGGUGGCGAAGGCGGCAUCCUGGACCAGCACUGACGCUGAGGAGCGAAAGCGAGGGGAGCAAACGGG